Molecule: long non-coding RNA, 5316 nt
Filed under: Nicotiana benthamiana
Lineage: Eukaryota; Viridiplantae; Streptophyta; Magnoliopsida; Solanales; Solanaceae
Description: long non-coding RNA (NBEN_LNC037104)
Source: RNAcentral
AGUAAUCAUUUUGGUGGAGGAUACGGGCGCCGAUGCUUUGGCGAAUGAGGGCGCUUCAACUUCACGAGCGGUGGAGGCCUCGACUUCCAGGCGACGGAAGGAAGGGGCGCCUCGGGAGAGGGGGAAGAUUCUGAGUCCGACAUGGACCCUGAGGACAUCCGUCUAUUCCAAGAAGGUUAUAUCCGUCCAGCUGUGCAGGCCGAAGGGAACUAUCGCUACGUGGAGAUUCCUAAUGACCAGAACCUGCUGCUUGAGGAGGAGAAUUUGGUGACGUUGUUCGAGGUUAUGUGCUUGGAGGCGGAGAGUAUGUCCUUGAGGGGAAUCUCGGAUGUCGGGUUGAUGGGCGAGGUGGGCGCCUUGAGUAUAAAGGUACGUAUGAAACCUUGGGUUGUUUUCUUUUUUAGUACGUCUUCUUGUACUAACUGUUUCUCUGUUUGUUGUAGUCAUUUUUAUUGGAGGUGGAGAGCAUCAUGCGGGCUAACAUCCGCUCGGCAGUUUUUGUGCGGUUGUUGGGGAAGUACCGCUGCUAUCAUGACCAGUGUCGUGAUUUGCGUGAAUGCUUGAGGAACGACCAGCAAAAUUGGGAGCUGGUAGAAGGGCUGGCGCGGAGGGAGCUUCAUAUGCAACAGACCCUUAACAGGGUAAAUACUCUUGAGGGGCAGAUCCGUCAAAAGAACGAGGAGAUGGACGCUGAAAGAAGGGCGGCUACGGAGAGAGAGCGCCAAAAUCAGACGUGCUAGCAGAGGCCGCUAAAGCUUUAGCUAGGCAGGUGGAUGCCGUAGAGACGGAGGCUGCCGCUUUAAGGAAGCAGGCAGGGGACGCCCUGGCGAGGGUUGAAACAUUACAGGCGACCAACCGUGCCCAAGAAAGAGAGCGCAGAUUAGAGAGGGACGCCACUACUUUUCGAGGUAGUUGGAGGAGUGCAUUCCUGUUUGUUAACGGGAUGCUCGUGUUGCAGCAGACUGGAUUGCGGCCUUGGAGGCUGAGAACCAGCGCAUGAGGGACCUAGCCGCCUCUUUAGGUCCUGCUCGUGAGCUUUGGAUUUACGCUGAGGCCCAACUUGAUGUGUACAGAAGGUUGUGGGAAGCCGGCGUUGUGUAUGAGGCCACCUGUAAGGAGGCACGCCAAAAGGCUCGUGAUGCCCGCCUCGACUGCAGUUUUGAACCGUCUACACCUGGGGUGAUGAUGGCGCCGAGGGCGCUGACAAUGUUGAAGAGGGCACUGGGGGCGUCGAAUGAACAAUGAGAAAAUUUGUAAUAUCCAUUUAAUUUUCAUUCUCUUUAUCUCUUUUACUUUUUGUUGCCAUUCGGCUUUUUAUUUUUCUUUUCCGGCCUUGGGCCAGUGUAAUUGGGGGUAACCCCGUGUAAAUAUUGUAAAUAUACUUUCUUCCUUUCUGUUUGUUUUAUAUCAAUUUGUGCACUUCUUUUUUGUGCUCGUUUGAGAUGGCCUUGGCGAUUGAUAGACGCUCUUGGUCAUCACCUUGCUCCACUUGGUGGGAGUGGGUUGUAGUCGUGUCUGGGUAGUGGAGGUACAUAGCCUUAGUCCCAGUUCGUCCUUAGUUGAACUACUGGUCGUGGUAAUGAAGCGCAGCUUUAUAGUUCGACUUGGACUGAACUUUACGCGGGUCGAAACGUUAGUUUGGAGUUAGUCGUACUUAUUUGAAUGGCGAGGCGCUUGGCCCGAUCAGGGGUUCGUUCGUGGUAGGACAUUUGGGGGCGCUCGUCGUUGCCUGAUCGCAGCCCGGCUCAUAGCCUCGGGACGUGUUUCCUUGGAUUUGAUUUGUCCCUGGUUGAGUUUGUGGCUUUUGUGACGGAGGCGUGUAGCCUGAGUCCUUAUUCAACUCAUAGUUGAAUACUUUUGUAAUUCGUAAUGGCGGAGCACUUGGCCGGAGUCCUAGUCCAACUCGUAAUUGAUCUUUUAGGGUGAAGGCACAUAGCCUGAGUUGUCGUUCAACCGUAGUUGAACCUUUGUUAUUUUUGAAGGCACGUAGCCUGAGUCCCAGUUCAACCGUAGUCGAAAUUUUGGGUGAAGGCACGUAGCUUGAGCUUCCGUUCAACCGUAGUUGAACCUCUAUGAUUUUUGAAGGCGCGUAGCUUGAGUCCCAGUUCAACCGUAGUUGAACUUUUUGGUGAAGGCACGUAGCCUAAGUUGUCGUUCAACUGUAGUUGAACCAUUGUAAUUUUUGAAGGCACGUAGCCUGAGUCCCAGUUCAACCGUAGUUGAACUUUUGGGUGAAGGCACGUAGCCUGAGCUGCCGUUCAACCGUAGUUGAACCUCUGUGAUUUUUGAAGGCACAUAGCAUGAGUCCUAGUUCAACCGUAGUUGAACUUUUGGGUGAAGGCACGUAGCCCGAGUUGUCAUUCAACCGUAGUUGAACCUUUGUAAUUUUUGAAGGCACGCAGCAUGAGUUGCCGUCAACCGUAGUUGAACCUCUGUGAUUUUUGAAGGCGCGUAGCGUGAGUCCCAGUUCAACCGUAGUUGAAAUUUCGGGUGAAGGCACGUAGCCUGAGCUCUCGUUCAACCGUAGUUGAACCUUUGUAAUAUUUGAUGUCGAAGGCACAUAGCCUGAGUUCUAGUUCAACCGUAGUUGACGUUUUGGGUGAAGGCAUGUAGCCUGAGCUGUCCUUCAACUGCAGUUGAACCUUUGUAAUAUUUGAUGUCGAAGGCACAUGGCUUGAGUCCCAAUUCAACCGUAGUUGAAAUUUUUGGGUGAAGGCACGUAGCCUGAGCUACUGUUCAACCGUUGUUGAACCUCUGUGAUUUUUGAAGGAGUGUAACCUGAGUCCCAGUUCAACCGUAGUUAAACUUUUGGGUGAAGGCACGUAGCCUGAGUUGUCGUUCAACCUAGUUGAACCUUUGUAAUUUUUGAAGGCACGUAGCCUGAGUUCCAGUUCAAUUGUAAUUGAACUUUUGGGUGAAGGAGCAUAGCCUGAGCUCUUGUUCAACUCUAGUUGAACCUCUGUGAUUUUUUUAAGGCGCGUAGCCUGAGUCCCAGUUCAACCGUAGUUGAAAUUUUGGGUGAAGGAACAUAGCCUGAGGUGCUAUUCAACCCUAGUUGAAUCUUUGUAAUAUUUGAUGUCGAAGGCACAUAGCCCGAGUCCCAGUUCAACCGUAGUUGAUCUUUUGGGUGAAGGCACGUAGCCUGAGCUGCCGUUCAACCGUAGUUGAACCUUUUUAAUAUUUGAUGUCGUAGGCACAUGGCCUGAGUCCCAGUUCAAUCGUAGCUGAACUUUUUGGGUGAAGGCACGAAGCCUGAGUUGCCGUUCAACCGUAGUUGAACCUCUGUGAUUUUUGAUGGCGCCUAGCCUGAGUCCCAGUUCAACCGUAGUUGAACUUUUUGGGUGAAGGCACGUAGCCGAGCUACCGUUCAACCAUAGUUGAACCUCUGUGAUAUUUUAAGGCACGUAGCCUGAGUCCCAGUUCAACCGUGGUUGAACUUUUUGGGUGAAGGCACGUAGCAUGAUCUCCCGUUAAAUCGUAGUUGAACCUUUGUGAUUUUUGAAGGCACGUAGCCUGAGUCCCAGUUUAACUGUAGUUGAACUUUUUGGGUGAAGGCACGUAGCUUGAGCUGCCGUUCAACCGUAGUUUAACCUCUGUGAUUUUUGAAGCCGCGUAGCCUGAGUCCCAGUUCAACAGUAGUUGAACUUUUUCGGUGAAGACCCGUAGCCUGAGCUGCCAUUCAACUGUAGUUGAACCUUUGUAAUAUUUGAUAUCGAAGGCACAUAGCCUAAGCUGCCGUUCAACCAUAGUUGAACCUUUUGUUUUCCCACAUAACCCGCUUCGUAUUGGGCGUUGGGAUUUGCUUCCAAUUUCAGAUCUCUCCUAACUCGCGCUUGUAGUAUUCUCGAAUGGUUUGUAUGGUUCACCCCGUUACAGAUCUCGGUUCGAGAUGCUUUCAUGCUUUCCUCUUUUUUGGCAGGAUCCCGUGUGAAAAGGGGGCGAUGUACCUUAUGCAUAUUUUUCCCAUAGGGAUGGGGGAUCUGCUUCUUCUUCUUCUUUUUCCCUUUGAUCGGAGUCGCUGGGAUGUGGAAGCAAUCUCAUAACGAGGAUUUGUACUUCCUUUUACCUGAAAUGCCGCUUUGGCUUGUUCGAGCUGGGUUGUUCUAUUUCCUUCUUUGGUCUAAGGAUAAACUACGUGAUUCUACUAUGAAAUCCCCGAAGACGGCGCCAAAUUGUUUAGCUCAAAGUUUUCAUAAACCUUAUGGGAAUAAAUCAAUCAAAAUCAAUGAAGGGGCAAUCAUAGCAGAUCGUAAUAAAUCAAAAGACCAAAUGAAUAAAAUGUAAGAGACAAUAGUUANNNNNNNNNNNNNNNNNNNNNNNNNNNNNNNNNNNNNNNNNNNNNNNNNNNNNNNNNNNNNNNNNNNNNNAAAUCAAAAGACCAAAUGAAUAAAACGUAAGAGACAAUAGUUAUUAGUUAAAGGGAGGAGGGUGAAGAUAUUUUAUUAAUGGUAUUGGUUUGGUCUGCCUCUCAAUGGAGAGGUUCAUAGCUUUACAAUGAUGUAUCCUCUCUUUUAUUAGAGGUAUAUGUGAAGAAGAAGAAGCAGCCCCCCUUUAGGGUUCUUUCUCUUAGUAUUUAUAGCCAGGAAACCUGACAGUUGGCGCCGAGUGGUUGUGGCCACAUUGAGGGGACACCCUCAUAAGGACGGCCAAGCCGUAGCCUUAAUUGUCAAAUCAUGUAAUUGCCUGAUAAUAUUGUUAAUAAAUGGUCAUACCAUUUAUCAAUCACAAAUAGGCUUUAAUAAAUGCAUCGGUCCCAUUAAUUAUCGUUAAGUCAAGUUUUGACCCAUACACAUACCAUGGCUGCAAAACACUGGUUGCACGAGAGACGGGGGUAAUCAAUCACAACCAUACCGGGUUGCCACACCAAGAUACGGGCCGGGUCAUCUCAAUGCUCAAAGAUCAACCCAAAAAUAGAAAGAUUCAUAAGCAUAAUCACAGCCCUCACUCUACCCCAAUACAAACAAAAAAUCAAAUAGAGCACACAAAAAAGAACAUGCCUCAAACUAGCCAACAAUUCCAAUCUCAAACCCUAGUCUUGGCCAAAGAUUAGAUGGGAAAGAGGGAGAGAUCGCGUACUUGAUGAAGUCCUCAACGCCGAUUUUGACCGGCGCGGUUGAGAGAGCCGAUUUUGACCGGCGCGGUUGAGAGAGAGAAGGAGAUAUAGAGAAAGGGACGACAGAGCAAUUGAGAAAUUAUGGGAAAAAGAAUUAGAAUGUGAGGGUUAGGGGAAAAUAAGUUAACGUUUCCGACUACUGUAGCCGGAAACUAUAUAUUAUUUAAUUGUUUUCAUUAAAGAAUUCUUGGUUAAAAGUGGUU